This is a long non-coding RNA of Oncorhynchus tshawytscha (Chinook salmon), 486 nucleotides long. Lineage: Eukaryota; Metazoa; Chordata; Actinopteri; Salmoniformes; Salmonidae. The record is from Ensembl.
AGGGAGAGAGAUGUAGAGAGGGAGAGAGAUGUAGAGAGGGAGAGAGAUGUAGAGAGGGAGAGAGAUGUAGAGAGGGAGAGAGAUGUAGAGAGAGAGAGAGAUGUAGAGGGAGAGAGAUAUGUAGAGGGAGAAAGAUGUAGAGAGGGAGAGAGAUGUAGAGAGGGAGAGAUGAUGUAGAGAGAGAGAUGUAGAGGGAGAGAGAUGUACAGAGAGAGAGAUGUAGAGGGAGAGAGAUGUAGAGGAGGAGAGAUGUAGAGAGGGAGAGAGAUGUAGAGAGGGAGAGAUGAUGUAGAGAGAGAGAUGUAGAGGGAGAGAGAUGUACAGAGAGAGAGAUGUAGAGGGAGAGAGAUGUAGAGGGAGAGAGAUGUAGAGAGGGAGAGAGAUGUAGAGAGGGAGAGAGAUGUAGAGAGGGAGAGAUGAUGUAGAGAGAGAGAUAUGUAGAGGGAGAGAGAUGUAGAGAGGGAGAGAGAUGUAGAGAGGGAGAGA